RNAcentral lists this ribosomal RNA (495 nucleotides) under uncultured bacterium. RNAcentral's name for it is "partial 16S ribosomal RNA". It matches the Rfam family "Bacterial small subunit ribosomal RNA", at positions 28 to 507 of the family's 1533-position model. The record is from RNAcentral.
GACGAACGCUGGCGGCGUGCCUAAUACAUGCAAGUAGAACGCUGAAGGAGGAGCUUGCUUCUCUGGAUGAGUUGCGAACGGGUGAGUAACGCGUAGGUAACCUGCCUGGUAGCGGGGGAUAACUAUUGGAAACGAUAGCUAAUACCGCAUAAGAGUAGAUGUUGCAAGACAUUUGCUUAAAAGGUGCAAUUGCAUCACUACCAGAUGGACCUGCGUUGUAUUAGCUAGUUGGUGGGGUAACGGCUCACCAAGGCGACGAUACAUAGCCGACCUGAGAGGGGACGCGGCCACACUGGGACGGGGACACGGCCCAGACUCCUACGGGAGGCAGCAGGAGGGAAUCUUCGGCAAUGGAAGGAAUGCUGACCAAGCAACGCCGCGUGAGUGCAGAAUGUUGUCGGGUCGUAAAGCUCUGUUGUAAGAGAAGAACGAAUGUGAGAGUGGAAAGUUCACACUGUGACGGUAUCUUAACAGAAAGGGACGGCUAACUACGUG